UGAUUCCGGGGAACUGCACAUAGGUAAUUCAGUUUGACUUUGCAACAGAGAAACGGCAGAAAAGAGGUGGAAGCGGAAGAAGAUUUCAUCUCUCCAAGCUCCAACUAUGAACUCCCUCCGGCAACACGCGACUGUCGUCACUGUUGUAAGUCUUCGACACAUAUGAAUAUAUCGUAUUAUUUUUAAUUCCA
Molecule: long non-coding RNA, 191 nt
Organism: Vitis riparia (riverbank grape)
Lineage: Eukaryota; Viridiplantae; Streptophyta; Magnoliopsida; Vitales; Vitaceae
Exons: 2
Source: RefSeq, a predicted model, not a curated record